GAUGAACGCUGGCAGCGUGCCUAAUACAUGCAAGUAGAACGCUGAAGGAGGAGCUUGCUCUUCUGGAUGAGUUGCGAACGGGUGAGUAACGCGUAGGUAACCUGCCUGGUAGCGGGGGAUAACUAUUGGAAACGAUAGCUAAUACCGCAUGACAACAGUUAUUGCAUGAUAACUGUUUAAAAGGGGCAACUGCUCCACUACCAGAUGGACCUGCGUUGUAUUAGCUAGUUGGUGAGGUAACGGCUCACCAAGGCGACGAUACAUAGCCGACCUGAGAGGGUGAUCGGCCACACUGGGACUGAGACACGGCCCAGACUCCUACGGGAGGCAGCAGUAGGGAAUCUUCGGCAAUGGACGGAAGUCUGACCGAGCAACGCCGCGUGAGUGAAGAAGGUUUUCGGAUCGUAAAGCUCUGUUGUAAGAGAAGAACGAGUGUGAGAGUGGAAAGUUCACACUGUGACGGUAUCUUACCAGAAAGGGACGGCUAACUACGUG
This 495-nucleotide ribosomal RNA is filed under the name uncultured bacterium. RNAcentral describes it as "partial 16S ribosomal RNA". It matches the Rfam family "Bacterial small subunit ribosomal RNA", at positions 28 to 507 of the family's 1533-position model. The record is from RNAcentral.